CCCAAGCUAAGUCUUUUAACUGGGCUGGGUGCGUCGAGGUCAGCUUUAGGAGUUCCGCCAGCACCGCCGCGUAGCCACUCCCGAACCUACCAUCGACCUUCCGGCUGCCGCCGCUCCUGCUUUGCCUCCACCUCUCCCCCUGACGUCCACGCCUUCACUCGAGUAGCUGGGGCGGCUGCCGUUCCAGAUCGGAACGAGUGGUAUGAGGCCGUGGGGCGCACCGUGUCCGUUACCAUUCCUUUCUCCGCUUGACAAUAACUUCUAAACAGAAACCACAGAGAUAUCAAAUCACUCGUCUCAUUAAUCUUAAAUCCCAACCUAACCUGGGUACUUCCACGACGUAUAACUAAAUAUGCUUCUAAUGAGUUGGAGACACAAACACAUAGAAUCUUAGGUCCUGGGCCUGACAAUCUUGAGUCUUGAACUUAAAUCGUCCAAAGUGUUCGUUAAGUUUUUCGUCUCCCUCUCACCAGACUCACACACUACGUACACCACGAAGACUGUGACGUCCUUCAUCACUAGGUCGUUGUCUCGUUUCAGCCAACCAUGACGUCGAUGGGUGCACCUUCAUCUUAGUGUUCUCUCACUAGGACCAAGAACAAUUUAGACCACAGCACCCAUUUAUGCCCUAACGACGACUGGGAUCCCUGUGACUUUACCGACUACUCGGAUCUCUAGGUCACGAAGUACGGGGGUGUCUCGAUCUUUUGGACUUUUGAAAACUUACACUUCCUUUAGUUGGACUCCUACGAAAUCUGGACGUUUUGUCCAGUUUCCCAUAAUCUCCUCAUCUUCGGUUAAUACGAAACUUCGAACGCUUGUUAGGAGGUUUCUCUAGAUUCAACCUACUUGUGUUUCAUCGUUACGAACCAUUUUUCGCUCGGUCUGUUUGACACUAUUAAUUACUGCUCCUACGUUUCGUUCGACCAUAUUACUGUUAUAGUUGUGGGUCCUCUGUUAGAGCACCCCGACCACUUCAUCGACGUCCUUGUGUCUUGGUCGACCGGUAGUCCCUGGUCUCCGUUUGACUUUACUACCCAGGUCUUGCUUCAUUAAGACGGUGGGGUUCCCUAUCUUUACGUCUAAGGUCACAACUACAACUUAACCGUAGAGGCUUGACCAGUUUCUUUUACUUACGACUUUAUGGGGGGAGUCUACCCUUGGUUGUUAGACAUGGUUCCGUCCGGUGAAACUCCGUUUGGUACCUAAGGUUCGUCAAGUUCCCGGCUGGUCAGAGAAGAGUCUCUCGUCUACAUUGUCCCGUCUUGUACCGUCUAGUCUUUGCUCGGGUGUUCUCCAGAGAACAAAGGUUCUUUCUUCGAAGUCGUUUAUUAUGUGUUAUAGUACUGUGUAGACAACUUGCUGAAGAUGUCCUUCACUGUUCACUAUUCAAGACCGUAUUAGGUCUCCUCAGCCUUGAAGUUAGACAAGGACCUUCGAAACUUAGACGACUCCUCAUGUAAUCUCAAAAACUCGGAAACGAAAAACUCCUUACGUCUCGAGUCGAUGUGUCAAGAAUACUCCUUAGAGAACUCCGACAGAGUUCCCUACGUGUACAUUACCACGCGCAAUCUUGACACCUAUCCGCACUUUCUCCCACCAUACUACAAGAACAAGAUGGUCGUGUACUUAUAUUUACCUGAAAAUUUCUUCCUCUUCAACGUCAAAACAGUAAGGGAGCCGGACUAAGUCGACGUGUCAGUUCAUUAAGAUUAUCCUUCUGACAACCAAGUUUACUUCUACGGCUCAGUCUCACACCUGCCGAACAACCAUCUCAGGCCGCGGUAUACGGAUUACUAUGUGCACUAGGGUAACCUCGUUAAUAGGCAAAAAUACGACCCUUGGGCAGACUAAGAUCGACACUCUAAUUACAAGACCCCUUUGAGGUUGGAGUUUCGUGGACCAUAGAUUGACCAGAGCCAAGAGAGCGUUGUUGUGUUUCCCUCAUAUAACGCAACGUGCGUAAGGCGGCAGAAUUACACGUCUACGUUUUACGUUAAGAAGUCGGCUCAGGUCUCGUGAAGGGGUUCAUGGUUCUCGUCGGUGGACGAUACGGACUGACGAAGUGAGGUUUAAAAAGAACAGUAGAGGUAGUAUGUAAGUUACCCGGAGUCGAUAGUCGUUAGGUAACCCGACGUUACGUAUGUCGACGACCGUGUCCGUUACCUCAUCACUUCUUUGUUCUUGGAACCGGAAAGUGUAACCAUGUUCCAGGAGGUCCUUGUCCCUUUUGAGUAUGACAAACCCCUUACGAUUUACAAUAAGUAGAACAAGUCAUAGUUGUAAUGAUACGACGAGACGAUUUUUUUGAACGAGGACUUUCAAUACUCGUUCAACCACCAUCACGAUCGUCGUGGAGUCUUCGACAACGACGCCCGAGUUACCUACUUCAAAACGUCUCGUACUUAGUUUUGGACAAAGCGUGAGAAGGGUUCGAAACGGGGUUUGGCGCCUACGAACAAACACGGGGUAGUUUACGACGUUGUCUACUCGACGAACGAGCACAAGAUCUAGCACCAAAGUAUCUACCACUCUACUCCCAGAUGGCGGGACUGCAACGGGCACAACCUCAACUAAGUGUCAGGGCACGACGUGUUCGACAAAGUCAACUCGCUGCCUGCCUUGUCGAAAAUUACUUCCCUGCACUCCUUCAUUAACCCACCGACGUAGUUGAUUUUCAGGCACUUGUUGUUAAUAGUGUUCUCUAUCGUGAAGACGUCUCCCUUGAAUUAUACCAACGUCUCCGACCAUCUAGAGUCCCAAGCAAACCUCAUCUAGGUCUGUACGAACGAGUUUCCCUAGCAUUGGCACUAUAUGACGAAGUCUUUGAACGACGAAGACACCUUUCGUCCCUAUUUCAUGACCAACUCUACAGUGCGGACAACUAUAAUCUUUCGUCCAAGGCACAACCGUCUUUGAAGUUAGACCUUCUACGAUCCCGAUCAAACCUUCGAUCAAAACGGUCACUUCGCCUUUAACAAAAAUGAUGUCAUAGUUCGUCACCAGCGUUCAAUAAAAGACGGGAAUUAGUACCGAAACUAUACCAACAAUAGCUACUCCGACGAGUCCGGUCACUUCAUCCUCAGGAGGGAGGUGAAAGUGAACCACGUCGAUCUACACAGAACCAACCACUAGGUGUUGUCGAGGGACGGUGACAAUAAUCGUUUCGUCGACCUUGAAAUGAGAUGUCGUCCUCAGAAAAACUCUCCAAAGUCGUUCGACCAACGGGAUGGUAAAACGACAGUCACGUUAUAGCCUACGUAGGGGUCUAGGCACUUAAAGGUAGUUCUAUGAAGAUGGUUCCGGCGGAAUGUCUAUCACUUUCACAGCGGUUGAACGCGCUACUCCGUAAGAUAUCUCUACGUAAUUACCGUGGAAUGUAAAAGAUACUGUAGAGCGUACCCGCACUCAGGGUAUCUCCACCCAGUAGAAGUAUGGUCUUACAGGUACUUCGUGUCAAACGUAACACAAACAUACUCGUAGAAGUCUUCAAGGACUCUCGAUUACCACCGUUCUUUCGUAGACAACCAUAUUAGUGAGGAAUAUUCAACGUCAACUUCACAGAAGUCGCCCUUAAACGCCUCCAAUACUUAUGGCUCCUUCCCUUUCUAUAGAUGUAUUUGUGUCAACUACGAAAAGUUCCGGUCCUCGCACUACACUAAUAAUACAGUACACAGGCACGGAGUUUGGUGCCACAACCAAAACAACGUCUAUAUGCGGCAUACUUACAGCGAGAAUGAGCUCGAUCCUCUCGAGAUACCCAAUAACCAUUACGGUUACGGGAGUACGUCAGUCUCCUAACCCGCCGUGACCAUCGUCUACGUUUCCGCUCUUUUACAAAGUACCUGAACUCAUCGUAGGGCUCACUGAAGGAUCGAUACUUGUUUAAAAGUUUGCGGGCCCCGGACUUAAGAAGUUCGUCGUGUUCCAUGUACUCCUGAUCACCUGGCUCUGGCUCCGUAAAGCUGUACGAAGGCCGUGGGUCCUACCCAUACUGCCGGCCACUCCUACCGGUAGGGUUGAGACAACGCUCUUUACCAUCAAUGGCCUUAGACAGGUUACUACACCCCGUAGGACCACUAUCCAGAUCUCUAUUAAACGUCAAACCCUCCUAGUCCCCCGGCUUAGGUAGGUUACUAGGCUCCUCUGUUCGGAUUCCUCUUGUUUAACCACAGACGUCAAAAAACGCACCUCACCACGUCGUACCUUCUUCCUACUACUUCGUCCUACAACGGACAACGAUGAUUAGCCUACGACAGCAUAACCCUGUACCCGAUACCCGAGAACUAAAACAGACCGACGACUUGUCUACCGACGGAGUCCGGGAGCCGCAACACCUUGGCACGUCCUGCCCCAAUGUACCUGGUAUAAACUUGUUCCGACAGUCGACCUGUCUACAACGGACCGUAACGAAAUCAGACGAAAGAUAUCUAAAUACAUAACAUAUGCGCUCGCCCGUAAAAGUAAAAUUUUGGACUAGAUAUCGUCCAUUUAGACCCGAUCCAGUAAAACUUUGCGAUACUGCCCAAUCCCGAUUUCCAAACGCUGGUCUAUACGGUACAUACUGACCAAACGACAACAUCUGGCGGACGUAUUUAAGACAGACACACAUACAUGUAUGUCUUUAGGCGUACAUCUUGUUCAGGUAUUAGACCAAGCUAAUAAGACAAACCGUACCGGCUGGAACCUAGACGCAGCCAGCUACGAAGACACGAACGUGACAGA
RNAcentral lists this ribosomal RNA (4725 nucleotides) under Triticum aestivum (bread wheat). RNAcentral's name for it is "partial small subunit ribosomal RNA". Lineage: Eukaryota; Viridiplantae; Streptophyta; Magnoliopsida; Poales; Poaceae. The record is from RNAcentral.